GGCAUGGUGGUGUAGUGGUUAGCGCUGUUGCCUCACGCCACCAGGUUUGGGGGCGCGAAUCCCACCUCUGCCC
Non-coding RNA from Pangasianodon gigas (Mekong giant catfish), 73 nucleotides. Lineage: Eukaryota; Metazoa; Chordata; Actinopteri; Siluriformes; Pangasiidae. The record is from the annotation of a GenBank genome assembly.